UGGGGAAUCUUGCGCAAUGGGCGAAAGCCUGACGCAGCCAUGCCGCGUGAAUGAUGAAGGUCUUAGGAUUGUAAAAUUCUUUCACCGGGGACGAUAAUGACAGUACCCGGAGAAGAAGCCCCGGCUAACUUCGUGUCAGCAGCCGCGGUAAUACGAAGGGGGCUAGCGUUGCUCGGAAUUACUGGGCGUAAAGGGAGCGUAGGCGGACAUUUAAGUCAGGGGUGAAAUCCCGGGGCUCAACCUCGGAAUUGCCUUUGAUACUGGGUGUCUUGAGUGUGAGAGAGGUAUGUGGAACUCCGAGUGUAGAGGUGAAAUUCGUAGAUAUUCGGAAGAACACCAGUGGCGAAGGCGACAUACUGGCUCAUUACUGACGCUGAGGCUCGAAAGCGUGGGGAGCAAACAGGAUUAGAUACCCUGGUAGCCCACGCCGUAAAACGAUGAUUGCUAGUUGUCGGGAUGCAUGCAUUUCGGUGACGCAGCUAACGCAUUAAGCAAUCCGCCUGGGGAGUACGGUCGCAAGAUUAAAACUCAAAUGAAUUGACGGGGUCAUAGCUGUUUCCUG
RNAcentral lists this ribosomal RNA (562 nucleotides) under uncultured bacterium. RNAcentral describes it as "partial 16S ribosomal RNA". It matches the Rfam family "Bacterial small subunit ribosomal RNA", at positions 355 to 1376 of the family's 1533-position model. The record is from RNAcentral.